UUAAAAAGCUCGUAGUUGAACCUUGGGCCUGGCUGACCUGUCCUCCUAAUCGAGCGCACGGGUUCGGUCGGGCCUUUCCUUCUGGGGAUCCCGAUGCCCUUCACUGGGCGUCGUGGGGAACCAGGACUUUUACCUUGAAAAAAUUAGAGUGUUCAAAGCAGGCCUUUGCUCGAAUACAUUAGCAUGGAAUAAUAGAACAGGACAGAGGUUCUAUUUUGUUGGUUUCUAGGACCGCUGUAAUGAUUAAUAGGGAUAGUCGGGGG
This 263-nucleotide ribosomal RNA is filed under the name uncultured Ascomycota. RNAcentral describes it as "partial 18S ribosomal RNA". It matches the Rfam family "Eukaryotic small subunit ribosomal RNA", at positions 619 to 888 of the family's 1831-position model. The record is from RNAcentral. Lineage: Eukaryota; Fungi; Ascomycota.